UGAAAUUAUUUCGAAGGUUUAAAUGAUUUCUUGGGCUUGGUUUCUAUUGGUGCUUGGUACGGGAAUGGAAGGAAUGCUGGAUGGUACAAUCCAUUUCUAAUGGCUUGCUAUGAUCCCGACACUGAUGAAUAUCAAAGUGUCUGUCGUGUAAUGUCCGGCUUCUCUGAUGCGUUCUGUAUAGAGGUUCUCUGUCUCCACUCUGAAAACCCUAGCUCCGCACCAUAUUCUUCAAAAAUGAGGGUGGGAUGCGACAUAGAUGAUGAGAAUCCGAGUCUAGAUUCGACUUGCUAGGUUUGUAUUCAUCUUUUAAUCGUUAUAUAUGUUUUUAGGGUUCUUACGUGUGCUUUUAAUUCAGCGAGUUUAUUCAUAUUAGAAGAAAUAAUGAAGAAAUUGUUCUUGAUUGA
Helianthus annuus (common sunflower) is the source of this 404-nucleotide long non-coding RNA. RefSeq lists it as uncharacterized. The record is from RefSeq and is a predicted model, not a curated record. Lineage: Eukaryota; Viridiplantae; Streptophyta; Magnoliopsida; Asterales; Asteraceae. The transcript has 2 exons.